AACAACCAGGUGAUUCCACGACACGCACACUCGUACACACGCACGCACGCACGCACGCACGUACAUACGUAGUCGGUUACAUCUAGCUGCCUCUAUACGUUAAGUGGACAACGAGACGGGACUAUCUGAUAGACUGACUUGCAUCUACAUUCCAACGAUGAAGCAGCCAACUCUCCUUCUCAUCACUCUAUGCACUCUACUCGUUGCACUGGGUACAGCUGAAGGCAAGCCCCAAUGGCCAUGCUAUUGCUUUGUGUCGCCAUGUGAUCCCAGGUUUCACUCAUGUGACACAAGUACUGAGGUGUGCAGAGAGUUUGGCUGCUGCAUGCACUGGUGUGCCCCCAGAGGCUAACGUCACAUAAACCCCUGCAUGUAUACGCUGUGUGGACCAGGCACCGUAUGCGAGACGGAUAAAAAUUGCCGGGGAGUAUGUGUGGACAGGCCGCUGAAGGGUUAGAGUGCAUCACCGCUCAAUAAUACAAGCAUGUGAUAUCGGCCUGCCAUCUGGUAUCGGACAACAUAACAACUUUAAUAUAUAUGUUCUGGAGAAUGCUACUAUUACCCAGUGAUGUUAAUUAAUAUUAAAUAUAAUAAUGAUAACAUA
This 604-nucleotide unclassified non-coding RNA is filed under the name Priapulus caudatus. RNAcentral describes it as "uncharacterized LOC106807249, transcript variant X1". The record is from RNAcentral. Lineage: Eukaryota; Metazoa; Priapulida; Priapulimorpha; Priapulimorphida; Priapulidae.